AAGCUUGGGAACAAAAAAAGUAAGUAUGUAGCCAUCAUGGUGUAUUACAAAGUGCUUAAUCUUGGCUUUUUAGUGUUUACUGACCACACAACCUAAUCAGUUAACCUUCUCAUCUGAAAAUUUGGGAUAGAAAUAUUAACCCAAUAUUGAUAUGAAACAUAUGAAAGGAUGUGAAAAAAUUUUAUAAUUUAAGGGACCAGUGACCCUUCAAGGUAAGCCUUAGUAAUAUACAAGGCAAGAACACUAACAUAAUUAACCUUCACCUGGUCAUUCAAGCAAGAACCCCAAAUCUCCCAGCUAUAAACACUUUCCAGUAGUUUAACUUUUCCUCAAGGCACGUGAUAUGGUUUAGCUCUGUGUUCCCACCCAAAUCUCAUAUCGAAUUGUAAUUCUCACAUGUCAGGGGAGGGAAGUGAUUGGGUCAUGGGGGCAGUCUCCCCCAUGCUGUUCUCGUGAUAGUGAGUAGUUCUCACUAGAUCUGAUGGUUGUGUAAGUGUCUGACAGUUCCUCCUUCACAUGCUCAUACUCUCCACCUUGUGAAGGAGCCUGCUUCCCCUUCUGCCAUGAUCAUAAGUUUCCUGAGGCCUCCCCAGCCAUGCAGAGCUUUCCUUCCCACGCUCACACUCUCUCCUACUGCCUUGUGAAGAAGGUGACUGCUUCCCCUUCUGCCAUGAUUGUAACUUUGCUGAGGCCUCCCCAGCUAUGCAGAACUGUGCCUGAACUCUGGCAAUGACCUGAAGGGCCCUCACACAGAUUCUUCUCCAGUGCCUCCAGAAAACAACGCAGCUCUGCGACCCCUGAUCUCAGCCUCAUGGAAUACUGGGCAGAGAAUCCAGUCACAGCUUGCCUACACUUCUGCCCUACAAACUGGAAGCUGAUAAAUUUGUUUCAUUUUAAACUGUUAUGUUUGUGGUUAUCUAUUACACAGCAAUAUGGGCUUAUUCCAAACAGGCUGUAUGAAUUCAGGUCCCUGACCAAAUCUGGUUGACUGUAAAAAUGAAAAAGGACAACCUGAGUGCCUUACCUUACGUAAAUAUUUCCUAACUCCUGCCCUGUGUCUGUGGCAGACACCCUGCUCCGCU
Molecule: long non-coding RNA, 1082 nt
Filed under: Homo sapiens (human)
Lineage: Eukaryota; Metazoa; Chordata; Mammalia; Primates; Hominidae
Description: HSALNT0332767
Source: RNAcentral